ACGGGGUGCAGCAGGCGCGAAACCUUUGCAAUGUGCGAAAGCACGACAAGGUUAAUCCGAGUGUCUCCCGCUAAGGGAGUCUUUUGUCAGUUCUAGAACCACUGGUGAAUAAGGGGUGGGCAAGUUCUGGUGUCAGCCGCCGCGGUAAAACCAGCACCUCGAGUGGUCAGGAGGUUUAUUGGGCCUAAAGCAUCCGUAGCCGGUUGCAUAAGUUUUCGGUUAAAUCUAUGCGCUCAACGUAUAGGCCGCCGAAAAUACUGUGCAGCUAGGGAGUGGGAGAGGUACACGGUACUCAAUAGGAAGGGGUAAAAUCCUUUGAUCUAUUGAUGACCACCUGUGGCGAAGGCGGUGUACCAGAACACGUUCGACGGUGAGGGAUGAAAGCUGGGGGAGCAAACCGGAUUAGAUACCCGGGUAGUCCCAGCUGUAAACGAUGCAGACUCGGUGAUGCAUUGGCUUGUGGCCAAUGCAGUGCCGCAGGGAAGCCGUUAAGUCUGCCGCCUGGGAAGUACGUACGCAAGUAUGAAACUUAAAGGAAUUGGCGGGGGAGCAC
RNAcentral lists this ribosomal RNA (553 nucleotides) under uncultured Nitrososphaerota archaeon. RNAcentral describes it as "bacterial SSU rRNA". It matches the Rfam family "Archaeal small subunit ribosomal RNA", at positions 325 to 879 of the family's 1478-position model. Lineage: Archaea; Thermoproteati; Nitrososphaerota. The record is from RNAcentral.